This is a long non-coding RNA of Sphaeramia orbicularis (orbiculate cardinalfish), 279 nucleotides long. RefSeq lists it as uncharacterized. The transcript is spliced from 5 exons. NCBI's taxonomy places the organism in Eukaryota, Metazoa, Chordata, Actinopteri, Kurtiformes, Apogonidae. The record is from RefSeq and is a predicted model, not a curated record.
CGUUGUUCGUUGUUCUUACGUUGUUCAUAAGGCAUUCAUUAGGGCACCCUGCGAAAGGGGGUUUCAUACUGCGUUCAUGCAAAAUCUUGGACAAGAUCACUCACCUAGCUACGAACUUAGGAACGGUCCACGAACCCUCCAUUCUUAUAAGUCCGCCUUGAGAAGGUUGUACAAAAUGGUCCAUAAAUCGUUUGCACAGUGUUCGUAGCUGUUCGUAACGGCAUUUGUGACUGAGGCUUUAUACUGACAAGAUGAGAAAAUCGUAACACUUGCAGAUGC